RNAcentral lists this ribosomal RNA (127 nucleotides) under Branchiostoma floridae (Florida lancelet). The record is from RNAcentral. Lineage: Eukaryota; Metazoa; Chordata; Leptocardii; Amphioxiformes; Branchiostomatidae.
AGCUACGGCCGUGUGGCGCGUUGAUACACCCAAUCCCCUCAAUCUCGGAAGUUAAGCAACGUGCAGUACGGUCAGUACUUAGUACUUGGAUGGGAGACCACCCAAGGAUGGCUGGAUGCUGUAGCCA